Long non-coding RNA from Acanthopagrus latus (yellowfin seabream), 1137 nucleotides. RefSeq lists it as uncharacterized. The transcript has 2 exons. The record is from RefSeq and is a predicted model, not a curated record. Lineage: Eukaryota; Metazoa; Chordata; Actinopteri; Spariformes; Sparidae.
UCAAACACCAACACAAGAUGAUUUCACUUCAGUGAAGGGAAUAAACUGACCAGCAUUAAAGCAACAUGAAACCCUUUCAGAAAAGAACACAGUAAAAGUGGAACUUAAAUUCCUCUUUUAAAAUAAAUCAAGAUCAAACGAUUUUACACUUGUAGUUAUGUCUUAAUCCACAUACUUUUGUUAACACAGUAUAUAAAACACAAUUUACUUCUUCAGCAAUCACACACUUUGAGGCAAAUAAAGAAAAACAGCUGAUCUUUCAUUUUUAUUUAUGAAACACCACAUAUCCCUCCAAAAAAGAAACUUGACACUGCAGAAGGCAGUUGGGAUGUACUAAUUGGUCAUGAGUAGUGCACACACACUGAGACACCCGCUGACACAGCAAACUUUCAAACAGAGAAUGUCAGACGUCAAACAACAGUGUGUUCUUGGCUAAAGUCAUUCAGUAAACAACAUCAGUGCAUGAUUAAGGUCAAAUCCAGCUCUUCAAACUGCCACUCAUACACCAACACAACAGCAGCCAUAGCUUACAACAUGCAGUACCAUUUGCUCAUUUCUCCACAGACUGAACAGAACAACCGUUUUAUGGAAAAACACACAAUGUCUGUGUGUGCGUACAAGGUUUCUGUUUUUAAACUGUGGCUGGGGAUGGUGUGAUUGUGGAAGUCUGGCAGGUCUGUAUUCAUAAAUUGAUGGCAGAAGCCAAAUGUGGAGCUACAGACUGACCUCUGAAGCCUUGAGCAGGGAGCCAUAAACAGCUGCUUAAAGGUUACAUAUGUGAGAUUUCUUUCCAACUUCAAUAUGGCAGCAAACAACUAUUUGUAAUGUAAUGAUAGAAUGGAGUGAUGGCAACGUGGGCAGAACAUGAUGGCUGAACCCCUGUGUGUGUGUGUGUGUGUGUGUGUGUUUGAAGUUUCUAAUGGGACGUUCAGACCAAACAUAUGGGGAAUUUUUGGCACUUCUAAAUAACAUACAAGACAAUGCAACGUCUUUAUAAGAUCUGUGACUAUAUGAAUGGAAAAAUAAUAGAUGCUAGAUUGCCGUCUCUGGGCUUUUUCCAAUUAGGGCUGGCAGACUGGGGAGGAACAGCCCAGUUUGAACUGCCCAGAGCUGGUCAGCUUUGGAGGAGAGGGUCGG